UUAACAGAAGAAAAGUUUGCCUUGUCAAAUAUGUAACCCGGACUUCAAUUAAGUAGUUUUCCAGGUCUGUGGUGAUUCCUCCGUGGAGGACGCCGUGGAACUGGCUACAGCACUAAUGGAGGAAGAUGGAGUUGAGGUCCUGCUCCCAAGGGCAGAACAUCUUGUCUGGUGCAACUCAGAGGAGGAACUCUGGAUUUUCUAGGGUCAUCUUCUUUGUUUUGUACUAAUGGCGCUGAUGCACAGAGCCAGUGAUGCGCUGAAGUUUUACACAAAGAGCUGAAUAUGUUAUAUGAAUGUUAUGUGAAUGACAAUAUGUCAAAAAGUGAACCAAAUGGAUAUCCCCUUUUUGGUUUCUGUGGCUUGAUUUAUGUUGGUCGGGAGACCAACAGAUUAAAAUCAUUCCUUUAAAUAUUUAAAAAAGAAAAAAAGAAAGAAAAAAUGUAACCAUAAAUGUAAUAUGAACAAUUACAAUAAAAACGUCUUUAGACAAGUCACUACUGCAGCUUUCACUUUACUGAGAAACUGAAACUGAUGAGGAGAGGGAGGAGUUUUUGUAGAGUAUUUAAGCGAAAGGAUACAGAGAUCGCUCCUUUCUAUCCUGCAGACUCCCUUGUCUGAAAUGGAGCGGAGAUGAUCUGCUUGUAUGCUGUGAUCUAGUAUGCAGUCCGCUACUAGAUGACUGCAUACGAGUUGAGACGUCACGCUGCCUAAGGAUCUCUUUUAGGCCUUAGGCCAGUGCUUGCGUUUAUUAUUUUAUUUUGAGGAGGAGAGGAGGAGAACCCAACCGCCAAGGGAUUCGGGCACUCGGGUCCGCUGCCCUGUUCUAGUGCAUUCUUUGGCAACACUGGAUCUCCGGCCGGGGUUCAGCGGACCUGCAGUGAACAGCGCCAGUCUAUGGCCUGCUGACGAAGCACCAGAAACUAGAAGCUACCGCACAAACAUGAACAAAGAAGCCGACUUUACCCUUAACUCCCCCCCACCCUUUUUACCUUUGGUCGGCUUCUGGUUGUCUGUUGCUUGGUUGGUAGGCUGUGGGGAUGGCCUGCUGUAAAAACAACCAGUUUUUUAUUUUUUUAUUAAAGGCUAACUGCAACUCUUUUCUGAAAAAAAAAAAAAAAAAUCAAUAAAAAUAGAAAAA
Labeo rohita (rohu) is the source of this 1138-nucleotide long non-coding RNA. RefSeq lists it as uncharacterized. The record is from RefSeq and is a predicted model, not a curated record. Lineage: Eukaryota; Metazoa; Chordata; Actinopteri; Cypriniformes; Cyprinidae. The transcript is spliced from 5 exons.